GGCAAGAUACUUUGGAUUUCUGUCCUCCAUGAUCUGCCAUGUGGCUGGCACUGAAUCCAGCUCUAUUUCAUCUCCAUAAUGUUGAUAGGGCCAGCUGGCUGGCAGAUCACACAACUGCCUUUGUGGACCCGUGGCCUGGAUUGCAGAUGGACAAGAAGUGAAGCAUCUGAGCAAUGCAGAGAGACACUGGGCCUCAGAGACACUUCAGCCACUGGCGACAUGAUUCCUCACCCAUCUGCUCUUCGACACAGCUGCUGGGGGUGCUACUGCCAUGGCGUCAGCCAUUUGGCAGCUGAGCACAGAGUCUUGGAAAGAACGACAACCUUUGCAAUUGUCUGGUAGUCCUAGCCAUGCUGUACCCCUGAGCUUUUAACUUGAAUAUCACUUGUGGGUAAAACAAAGGACAAGCAUGCUCAAGUCAUGUCAGAAACUGAGCCUCCAAGUAGUGUUGAUGCUUUACUUAGAUUUAACACCUUGGACUUGAAUCUAGAGUCUUUUGUUCCUUAAAGAAAGUAUGAAAGUAGUUUCUUUUUCACCUGCAGGAGUACAAACAAAAUUACAAAUAGAGAAGCAAGCUGGUGAUGUUUGUAUUCUGGUUUGUAUUCCUUGGUGAUUUUUAACUAAGGCAAAUAAUAUGGAAUGAUUUGUAGCACUUUGAGACUGAUUUAAGUUAUAAUGUCUGUGAAUCUGUAAUAGAAAUAAACUAAAUUGAAAAAGAAAAGUAAUGAUUAUCAUUUGUCUUUUAUUUUCUUAGACCUACCAAAGCUAUCCCUCUCUUUUGGAAAAAACAAAACAAAGCAUGUAUUGAAUCCCUGCUAAUAUUUUGGAACUGAAUUAUUGCAUUUGGGAGAAAAGCAUUAUAUUAUUUUAUUUUUUCAUCUUUGCCAGCAAUGGUAACUUGCUCCUUGACAGUGUGUCUUAAAAAGAAAUAUCCACAG
Molecule: long non-coding RNA, 938 nt
Filed under: Homo sapiens (human)
Lineage: Eukaryota; Metazoa; Chordata; Mammalia; Primates; Hominidae
Description: HSALNT0206628
Source: RNAcentral